GUCCCUGCUGCGCUUGAAGAAGAACAGCAGGACGUACUUCUACUCCAGCUUCCUGGCCUACAUCUUUGGACUUGGACUGACUAUCUUCAUCAUGCACACCUUCAAACAUGCACAGCCCGCUCUGCUCUACCUGGUCCCAGCCUGCGUCGGCUUCCCUGUCAUUGUUGCUUUGCUUAAGGGAGAGCUCAUCGAGAUGUUCAGGUACGAGGAGUCCUCAGCUGAGGAGGCGGGGCAUAAAGAGGAGAAGAAGGACCAAUAACCUGCAUCCCUCUCCCUCCCCCCAAUGUAAAGAUCCAGCCUGACAUCACAUUUCACUGAAGCCCCGCCCCUUCACCCUGUUGCUGGGGGCGGGGCUUUCAUCACCAGCACUUCUCUCUGGUGGAGUCUGGCUGGUCUUCAUGGUAACGGCUGACUUAUUCAGGCUGUUGUAUUCCCAUCAUCCAUCUGCGUGUUUAUCUACAAACGAGGCCAGACAACUCUGCUGUCUUGGCUCCGCCCCUGAGUGGCUCUGCCCUAAAUUUAGCGAUUUAUCUUCCACACUCCCAGUGAUGGACAUGGGACAGGAUGUGACCUCAUUGGCAGCUUUAACAAAUCUGGUGUUCCUGGUUCUGAACGAGUGCCACACCCCUCACGGCUCAGCUGCAGAUUCCGGCAUUCCUCACGUUCACGCUCGUGUCAUUAAUGUCAAAGGUCAAAUUUUUGUAAGUUAAAAGCUUGACUCUUUUGUUUUUGUUUAAAACUGUAAUUUCUUUAUGAUGUGGACAUCGUGACUUGAGCAGCAAUCUCAUCAUUAAAGUAUCUAACC
This is a long non-coding RNA of Thalassophryne amazonica, 805 nucleotides long. RefSeq lists it as uncharacterized. NCBI's taxonomy places the organism in Eukaryota, Metazoa, Chordata, Actinopteri, Batrachoidiformes, Batrachoididae. The transcript is spliced from 3 exons. The record is from RefSeq and is a predicted model, not a curated record.